Molecule: ribosomal RNA, 207 nt
Filed under: uncultured bacterium
Lineage: Bacteria
Description: partial 16S ribosomal RNA
Rfam family: Bacterial small subunit ribosomal RNA
Source: RNAcentral
CGUGUAGGCGGUUUAAUAAGUCAGAUGUAAAAGCCCCCGGCUUAACCGGGGAUUGUCAUUUGAAACUGUUAGGCUUGAGUGCGAGAGAGGGUAGCGGAAUUCCCAGUGUAGCGGUGAAAUGCGUAGAUAUUGGGAAGAACACCAGUAGCGAAGGCGGCUACCUGGCUCGCAACUGACGCUAAGGCGCGAAAGCGUGGGGAGCAAACA